CGAAUCUCGAAAGACCUGUCUCAGUUCGGAUUGGAGGCUGAAACCCGCCUCCAUGAAGUUGGAUUCGCUAGUAAUCGCGCAUCAGCCAUGGCGCGGUGAAUACGUUCCCGGGCCUUGUACACACCGCCCGUCAAGCCAUGGGAGCCGGGGGUGCCUGAAGUUCGUGACCGCAAGGAGCGACCUAGGGCAAAACUGGUGACUGGGGCUAAGUCGUAACAAGGUACC
RNAcentral lists this ribosomal RNA (225 nucleotides) under uncultured bacterium. RNAcentral's name for it is "partial 16S ribosomal RNA". It matches the Rfam family "Bacterial small subunit ribosomal RNA", at positions 1268 to 1500 of the family's 1533-position model. The record is from RNAcentral.